This 2565-nucleotide ribosomal RNA is filed under the name Escherichia coli. RNAcentral's name for it is "partial 23S ribosomal RNA". It matches the Rfam family "Bacterial large subunit ribosomal RNA", at positions 397 to 2925 of the family's 2925-position model. Lineage: Bacteria; Pseudomonadati; Pseudomonadota; Gammaproteobacteria; Enterobacterales; Enterobacteriaceae. The record is from RNAcentral.
CUGUGAGCUCGAUGAGUAGGGCGGGACACGUGGUAUCCUGUCUGAAUAUGGGGGGACCAUCCUCCAAGGCUAAAUACUCCUGACUGACCGAUAGUGAACCAGUACCGUGAGGGAAAGGCGAAAAGAACCCCGGCGAGGGGAGUGAAAAAGAACCUGAAACCGUGUACGUACAAGCAGUGGGAGCACGCUUAGGCGUGUGACUGCGUACCUUUUGUAUAAUGGGUCAGCGACUUAUAUUCUGUAGCAAGGUUAACCGAAUAGGGGAGCCGAAGGGAAACCGAGUCUUAACUGGGCGUUAAGUUGCAGGGUAUAGACCCGAAACCCGGUGAUCUAGCCAUGGGCAGGUUGAAGGUUGGGUAACACUAACUGGAGGACCGAACCGACUAAUGUUGAAAAAUUAGCGGAUGACUUGUGGCUGGGGGUGAAAGGCCAAUCAAACCGGGAGAUAGCUGGUUCUCCCCGAAAGCUAUUUAGGUAGCGCCUCGUGAAUUCAUCUCCGGGGGUAGAGCACUGUUUCGGCAAGGGGGUCAUCCCGACUUACCAACCCGAUGCAAACUGCGAAUACCGGAGAAUGUUAUCACGGGAGACACACGGCGGGUGCUAACGUCCGUCGUGAAGAGGGAAACAACCCAGACCGCCAGCUAAGGUCCCAAAGUCAUGGUUAAGUGGGAAACGAUGUGGGAAGGCCCAGACAGCCAGGAUGUUGGCUUAGAAGCAGCCAUCAUUUAAAGAAAGCGUAAUAGCUCACUGGUCGAGUCGGCCUGCGCGGAAGAUGUAACGGGGCUAAACCAUGCACCGAAGCUGCGGCAGCGACGCUUAUGCGUUGUUGGGUAGGGGAGCGUUCUGUAAGCCUGUGAAGGUGUGCUGUGAGGCAUGCUGGAGGUAUCAGAAGUGCGAAUGCUGACAUAAGUAACGAUAAAGCGGGUGAAAAGCCCGCUCGCCGGAAGACCAAGGGUUCCUGUCCAACGUUAAUCGGGGCAGGGUGAGUCGACCCCUAAGGCGAGGCCGAAAGGCGUAGUCGAUGGGAAACAGGUUAAUAUUCCUGUACUUGGUGUUACUGCGAAGGGGGGACGGAGAAGGCUAUGUUGGCCGGGCGACGGUUGUCCCGGUUUAAGCGUGUAGGCUGGUUUUCCAGGCAAAUCCGGAAAAUCAAGGCUGAGGCGUGAUGACGAGGCACUACGGUGCUGAAGCAACAAAUGCCCUGCUUCCAGGAAAAGCCUCUAAGCAUCAGGUAACAUCAAAUCGUACCCCAAACCGACACAGGUGGUCAGGUAGAGAAUACCAAGGCGCUUGAGAGAACUCGGGUGAAGGAACUAGGCAAAAUGGUGCCGUAACUUCGGGAGAAGGCACGCUGAUAUGUAGGUGAAGUCCCUCGCGGAUGGAGCUGAAAUCAGUCGAAGAUACCAGCUGGCUGCAACUGUUUAUUAAAAACACAGCACUGUGCAAACACGAAAGUGGACGUAUACGGUGUGACGCCUGCCCGGUGCCGGAAGGUUAAUUGAUGGGGUCAGCGCAAGCGAAGCUCUUGAUCGAAGCCCCGGUAAACGGCGGCCGUAACUAUAACGGUCCUAAGGUAGCGAAAUUCCUUGUCGGGUAAGUUCCGACCUGCACGAAUGGCGUAAUGAUGGCCAGGCUGUCUCCACCCGAGACUCAGUGAAAUUGAACUCGCUGUGAAGAUGCAGUGUACCCGCGGCAAGACGGAAAGACCCCGUGAACCUUUACUAUAGCUUGACACUGAACAUUGAGCCUUGAUGUGUAGGAUAGGUGGGAGGCUUAGAAGUGUGGACGCCAGUCUGCAUGGAGCCGACCUUGAAAUACCACCCUUUAAUGUUUGAUGUUCUAACGUUGACCCGUAAUCCGGGUUGCGGACAGUGUCUGGUGGGUAGUUUGACUGGGGCGGUCUCCUCCUAAAGAGUAACGGAGGAGCACGAAGGUUGGCUAAUCCUGGUCGGACAUCAGGAGGUUAGUGCAAUGGCAUAAGCCAGCUUGACUGCGAGCGUGACGGCGCGAGCAGGUGCGAAAGCAGGUCAUAGUGAUCCGGUGGUUCUGAAUGGAAGGGCCAUCGCUCAACGGAUAAAAGGUACUCCGGGGAUAACAGGCUGAUACCGCCCAAGAGUUCAUAUCGACGGCGGUGUUUGGCACCUCGAUGUCGGCUCAUCACAUCCUGGGGCUGAAGUAGGUCCCAAGGGUAUGGCUGUUCGCCAUUUAAAGUGGUACGCGAGCUGGGUUUAGAACGUCGUGAGACAGUUCGGUCCCUAUCUGCCGUGGGCGCUGGAGAACUGAGGGGGGCUGCUCCUAGUACGAGAGGACCGGAGUGGACGCAUCACUGGUGUUCGGGUUGUCAUGCCAAUGGCACUGCCCGGUAGCUAAAUGCGGAAGAGAUAAGUGCUGAAAGCAUCUAAGCACGAAACUUGCCCCGAGAUGAGUUCUCCCUGACYCYUURAGRGUCCUGAAGGAACGUUGAAGACGACGACGUUGAUAGGCCGGGUGUGUAAGCGCAGCGAUGCGUUGAGCUAACCGGUACUAAUGAACCGUGAGGCUUAACCUUACAACGCCGAAGSUGUU